GUAAGAAGUUUUUGAAAUUUGAGAAGAACGGUUACGAAACCGUCUCUCAUUUCUUACGUUUUGAAACUGACCCUUGAAUGAUCCACCUGUUGAAAAACUCAACGGAAGACCGUCAUUAAAAACCUCUUGAAUAGGGAGACGUUGGGGCCUAACGUCUCCUGGUGUGAAGCCAAAGAUAAAGGGGCUUCACCGAGAGAAAAAAAAAAAAACAACAGAGUUCUUUCAUCCCUUUCUUUGAAUUUUUUAAGCUUGGUUUCCUUCACGGUCUUUUAAGCAGAGUGAUCAUUUCAAGCUCUGUACUCUUCCUUUUUCUAUUCUUUCUUUAUUUCUUAUCAAACCAUAGUGUACGAGCAAAGAGAAAAAUUCCUGCGGAGUUCAAGAGAUUUUGUAGUAUUGUGCACGUCUACAAAAUCAACGGUCUGUUGUAUCUUAGGAAGGGAUCGCCAGAAUCCGGUGCAUAUAAGGAGGCGAAUCUCUUUCAAAGACAGUGACUACACGCCUCGGACCGAUCUACAGGUAUUAUCUAUUUUAUUUUGGAUCUAAAGAAAAUGACAUCAAAGAGGUACGCAUUGGAAUCAGUUGUUUCAAUGAUAUUAAAUUAUUUAAGUUUUAUUUGAGUUCUUUGAGUUGAUUAUUACAACAUUUUUGAAAGAGAUUU
This 658-nucleotide long non-coding RNA is filed under the name Phoenix dactylifera (date palm). Its description in RNAcentral is "long non-coding RNA (PDAC_LNC004235)". The record is from RNAcentral. Lineage: Eukaryota; Viridiplantae; Streptophyta; Magnoliopsida; Arecales; Arecaceae.